UGGGGAAUAUUGCACAAUGGGCGCAAGCCUGAUGCAGCAACGCCGCGUGAGGGACGACGGCCUUCGGGUUGUAAACCUCUUUUAGCAGGGAAGAAGCGAAAGUGACGGUACCUGCAGAGAAAGCACCGGCCAACUACGUGCCAGCAGCCGCGGUAAUACGUAGGGUGCGAGCGUUGUCCGGAAUUAUUGGGCGUAAAGAGCUCGUAGGCGGUCUGGCGCGUCGGUCGUGAAAACUUGGGGCUUAACCCUGAGCUUGCGGUCGAUACGGGCAUGACUGGAGUUCGGCAGGGGAGACUGGAAUUCCUGGUGUAGCGGUGAAAUGCGCAGAUAUCAGGAGGAACACCGGUGGCGAAGGCGGGUCUCUGGGCCGAUACUGACGCUGAGGAGCGAAAGCGUGGGGAGCGAA
Molecule: ribosomal RNA, 406 nt
Filed under: uncultured bacterium
Lineage: Bacteria
Description: bacterial SSU rRNA
Rfam family: Bacterial small subunit ribosomal RNA
Source: RNAcentral